RNAcentral lists this ribosomal RNA (478 nucleotides) under uncultured bacterium. RNAcentral describes it as "partial 16S ribosomal RNA". It matches the Rfam family "Bacterial small subunit ribosomal RNA", at positions 28 to 523 of the family's 1533-position model. The record is from RNAcentral.
GACGAACGCUGGCGGCGUGCUUAACACAUGCAAGUCGAGCGAUGAAGUCCCUUCGGGAACGGAUUAGCGGCGGACGGGUGAGUAACACGUGGGUAACCUGUCUCAUAGAGGGGAAUAGCCUUUCGAAAGGAAGAUUAAUACCGCAUAAGAUUGUAGCUUAGCAUGGAGUAGCAAGUACAGGAGGAAACCGCGAUGAGAUGGACCCGCGUCGCAUUAGCUAGUUGGUGAGGUAACGGCUCACCAAGGCGACGAUGCGUAGCCGACCUGAGAGGGUGGUCGGCCACAUUGGGACUGAGACACGGCCCAGACUCCUACGGGAGGCAGCAGUGGGGAAUAUUGCACAAUGGGGGAAACCCUGAUGCAGCAACGCCGCGUGAGUGAUGACGGUCUUCGGAUUGUAAAACUCUGUCUUCAGGGACGAUAAUGACGGUACCUGAGGAGGAAGCCACGGCUAACUACGUGCCAGCCGCCGCGGUAA